GGAAACAUAAAUAUUUUAAUUAUUAAUUUAUUUUUGUCCACUCACUCUAACGUUAUUAAAUGUUUUCCCCUGGGCCCUUCGUUUUAAAUUGCCCAGUCUGCAGAGUUCGGGUUGGAUCUAGUAGGAGACGAGGCAUAGUCACCCGCUUUUCGGCCAGUUUUCAUCAGUAGGUUACCUGUUCAACCUACUCGUGUUUUCUUGCUUCCGCUUGUGUUUAGUAACUCUGAAUACUUUAGAAUUUUUGUAUAUUAUGUGAUAUUCAGAAGUGUUAAAUUAAGAGUGUAAUAUGAAAUUUUCGAGUUAGGGUUGUCCAUCUGCAAGGGAGAUUUUCUUAAUCUUUUCAGUAAAUUUUCCUUGGAGGUGGUCCCCGCACGAUUUACUCUGGGUUUCAGGGUGAAAUUCGGGGUGGGUCGUGUCAUGCGUGAUGUUGUUAACUACAUCACAUCACCCGAAGGCGGAAAUGGCUUGCGUGACUCCGCUAGAAACGUGGAAGGCACAUCACCUCGAAAGGGGGAACAACACGCUAGCAUGAAUAUCAUAAAUAAUCCAACAAGUAUGGCAUAAGAAGGGAAAAUAUAAAUUCAUAUGAGUUUUCCCAAAACUCAUAAAUCGAGCAUAAGUACGAUUCCCAACCGUACUCGGAAAAUUUCAAAGCAAGAAAAUUAAUUAAAUUCAAUGACGUGUCCCACACGUUAAAAUGUUCAAUGAAAUAAAUAACUCAAAUAAUUAACAUGUUUCAAAAAUUAGGCAAUACUCAAAUCCUUAAAGAAAUCUCAAAUCCAGAGAUCAAAAGAAUAUCAUAAUUCAAAUACUAAAACAAUUACCCAACUCAAAAUCCAUAAAUCAUUAACGAUCUCCAAUAAUUUCCAAUCAUUCUAUAAACCCAAAAUUAUAAUAUAAACUUGGAAAAUAAAAUAGUAAAUUAUAAAGUCUUGCACGCAUAUUUAUUUAAAACCAAAAUGUCCACUCACAAAAUUUAGGCCUAAGCCUGACGAAUUCCGAAUCGUCACUCAAGUGAGGUCUCCUCGAAUCUUGAUACAACAACCAUGCUUAGGACCAAACUUCAAUUCCGGAAAAUAAAUACUUAAAUUUAAACACCCAAACGCUUAACCCACUACCCUUACUAGGGUUAAGUUUACCGGAUUCACAUCAAACUCCACCUCAACCUUAAUUCACUAAUUUUAACAUUUUAGAAUAAUUACCACGAAAAUCCAACGGCCGGAUUUUCAUUCUAACAACCGCUAAAAUCUUUAACCAUUGAAAAAUUCCAAACCUUAUCAAAACUCCUCCAAAAAUUCUAAACUAUACUUCAUUAAACUCCUCAUGAAAACAAACCCAAAAACAGGAAAAACUGCCCCUAAGGGGCGGCGCCGCAGCCGUACUCCGGCAACCUCCAAUGUUUUUCAAAUUUUAACACAACAAUCCUCUCAACCCACACAACAACGUCCUUAACUAGCACAAAACCUAUUUCUAAGCCUAACUAGGUUAAUCGAACCAAAACCUUAAAUUGAGCCCUAGAACUUCAAUUAUACAUUUCUCCCUACCAAGAUCGAAUUUAGCCAAAUCCUUUUGAGGGAUUACUAACCUUGAUGACAGCUACAAGAUGAGCCAAAAAUCACGACUUAUGGUGGCCAGAGGAGGGAACUCCGGCGAAAAGACAGUCGGCGUCUCUGGCGGAAACUCUCUUGAUCGGCGGUGUUACACGGUCAGUCACCGGCCCAGGAAGAGAGAGGGGGCGACGGGGGUCCGAUCAAAGGUGGUCCGGCGGUCUAUGGCGGCCGGACGGCGGCGGACGGAGGUUGGGUUCCGGCGGGUCAGGAGAGUUCACGAGAGAGAGAGAGAGAGAGAGAGAGAGAGAGAGAGAGAGAGAGAGAGAGAGAGAGAGAGAGAGAGAGAGAGGAGGAGGGAGGGGAGGGGUANNNNNNNNNNNNNNNNNNNNNNNNNNNNNNNNNNNNNNNNNNNNNNNNNNNNNNNNNNNNNNNNNNNNNNNNNNNNNNNNNNNNNNNNNNNNNNNNNNNNNNNNNNNNNNNNNNNNNNNNNNNNNNNNNNNNNNNNNNNNNNNNNNNNNNNNNNNNNNNNNNNNNNNNNNNNNNNNNNNNNNNNNNNNNNNNNNNNNNNNNNNNNNNNNNNNNNNNNNNNNNNNNNNNNNNNNNNNNNNNNNNNNNNGGGGGGGGGGGUUGUUGGGCUGCUCCACACCCGGUCCAACUUAAAACCCCAACAAAAUAAACCCACUAAAUUUUACCCCAUUUUUACCAACUCAAAAUUUACCUCUUUUUGUUGAUAACUUUUUCAUGUUAACUCCGAUUUGAACGUAUAACAUGUCUAUGAACUCAUAUUAACAUCCUCUACAACUUCUUUAAGGAAAUUUUCCCAAAAUUAUUUUUCUACAGAAAGUCAACUCUAUGGUCCUCCAAUAGUAAACGGUUACUCAAAUCAGUAAAAGGUCAAAGUAACACCAACAGUAAAUACCCGCAAAUUAACUCAAGAACCGGGAUGUGACAAAAACACAUUCCUAGUUCUUGUCCUAUUGACCAGGAUGUUGAUGAUGAGCAGGAUGGCUAUAGUAGGGGUUGCUAGAGCUCACCAGAAUACCCGUUGGUGGAAAAUUAGCACCGGUGGUCUUGGAGAACUUCUCGUAAGACAUGAUGAUCGAGGUUGUGAAAACGAAGAUUAGAAAAGAUGAAGAAGAGAACUCAAGGAAGCCUCUUAAUUUGUAGCUAUAGAAAAUGAGGCAGAUGACGACUUUGAAAAAUACUUGAAGAAAACAAGAAUUAAACAAAUAGACAAUCAGUUUGGAAUGGAUGGCUGUUGCAUCCAAGGAAUAAAAUAUCGGGUAUUGGGAAGAUAUUGAUAGUCUGAAAAAUAGAAAUUUCGAUGGAGAUAUCAGAAAGAUUCGAUUUUAGUACAUUUUUGAUAAAAAUAUUAGUACUUAAUUAUAGAGGUACACUAGUAUUACCCAAUGAUUAAAAUAUCGGUAUCGGUACAUCUAUCAGUACUUUGAAAAAAAAAGAUAUUGGAUAUAUAGGUGAUAUUCGGGAAAAAAUAUCGGGAUUUUAGAUAGAUACAUUAUUUUCUUUGAUUAUUGCUUUUGUAGGUCUUCUUUUUAUCAAGUCAAUAGCAUGAAGAAUAAGAAGAAGAAAACAAUGUUACUUUUUCACGAUAGCUAAUCUACUGUGGAAACAAUUGGUUAUAUCAUCACCAUCUACUGUGGAAACAAUUGGUUAUAUCAUCACCAUCAUCACCAAAUGGAAUGACAACGAUUAACACUAAACAAAAUACCGAUCUUUAUCAUUUGCCACACUUCGCACGGCAUUGACUAGCAAUGGUCCAUUACUGCUAUAUCAGAGCUACUAGUAUUUUGAUUAUGACAUUAGAAAAAAAAAAAAAAAAAGCUUUAUAACUUGAUAUUCUUCUUACGAGAAUAGUUCCCACAACUUGAGGAAGACCCCUAGGGCCAGUAAUGGACUAAUGGUACGUGAUGAUAAGCUACGUAUAUUCUAAGUUCGAUUCUGAUAUGCAUGCAUAGAUGAUGAUACUGAUAGUCAAUCGCUUACCAUCCGCGUCAUGAUCAUAUAUAUUUCCAUGCAUGUCUGUAUGUGUUUCCAUUAAUUUCCAGAAAAUAUUAGAGACGACAAGUCUGGAAUUGAAAGCUAAAGGAAGAGAAGUUAUGGUACCACUUCAUCAACUGAACUUAUCAGUUAUUACCGAGGUCAUUAUACUAAAACAGAAAAUGAAUCGUCACAUUGACAUAAAACAAUUAGUUAGCUGCUUAAUUAAAAUUAUCGAUGAAAAUAAAAGUUGCAUUACGUACAUUGAUGCCUACCAAAUUAAACUUUUGGUUUUCAUGUACUCAUAUUCUCGUAUCAUAUCUUCGUCAGUCAUAUUAAUUUAUGUGUGUGAUACAAAAAAUUAAAUCACUUAAAGGCCAAAUUCAAUCAGAUUACAGUUGAUAUAAAUAUAUAUAUAUAUAUAUAUAUAUUUAUAUAUCAGGCUCUUUCUCUAAGGGAUCAUUUUUCUUUUUUGACAUAUAUGAGGNNNNNNNNNNNNNNNNNNNNNNNNNNNNNNNNNNNNNNNNNNNNNNNNNNNNNNNNNNNNNNNNNNNNNNNNNNNNNNNNNNNNNNNNNNNNNNNNNNNNNNNNNNNNNNNNNNNNNNNNNNNNNNNNNNNNNNNNNNNNNNNNNNNNNNNNNNNNNNNNNNNNNNNNNNNNNNNNNNNNNNNNNNNNNNNNNNNNNNNNNNNNNNNNNNNNNNNNNNNNNNNNNNNNNNNNNNNNNNNNNNNNNNNNNNNNNNNNNNNNNNNNNNNNNNNNNNNNNNNNNNNNNNNNNNNNNNNNNNNNNNNNNNNNNNNNNNNNNNNNNNNNNNNNNNNNNNNNNNNNNNNNNNNNNNNNNNNNNNNNNNNNNNNNNNNNNUUUUUUUCUGGACCUGACGAUUUUGAAUGAUCAUUCAAUCUGGGCCGAGUCGUUUUUGGACCAUUGGAGGGUCAGAAGCGAGCUCACGUGGUUCAACCGCAGGUGUGCAUCUCCUGCUCACGCGUGAUUGGCGCGUCUCGCGCUCCCGCGCGCUCCUCGCCGGCCCGUUUUUCUGUCUUUAGCGCGCGUUCUCCACAGACGAAGCUCGCCGCGCGUAGCUCCUGUCGUUACCCAGUCUUUCACGUGCACCUGCUGCCUUCUGCCGCCAUCUGGGUCCCGCGUCUGCAGUUUUGGGUUUCCUCCUUGCAACUCGACCCAUUUUGGGUCGUCUGUGUAGUAGGAACCCAUAAUUGGGUAUGGGUUUUAAUUGUUGGAGAUGAAUUUUUAUGGGUUUUGAGUAUGGGUUUGGGUAUGGCAACCAUUGUUGGAGAUGCCCUUAUAUAUAGAUCAAUUCUGCAAAUUUUCAACCAAUUUGUUGAUCGGUGUCGAACAAGAUUAAAUCAAUGAACAAACCAAAUCUACCAAACUUGAACCGUUCAUGUUUAUAAUUAUAAAUAGUAGUUUUGAAUGCCUUAAUGAUCACAAAAAUUUCUGAAAAUUUACAGAAAUGAUCUACUCAUAUAUAUAGAACUACAUAUUGAACGGUGUAGAUAUGAUUUUGGCAGCCCAACUCCGGCGACGUUCAAUGCCUCCCAAAUUUUAACAGAAUAAUCCUCUCAUCAAACACAACAACUUUCAUAACUAGCACUUAGUCCAAUUCUAAGGCUAACUAGGGUUAUCGAACCCAAACAUCCAAAAAUCCCUAAUUCAAACCCUAGCCCGAAAAUUCUCCUACACACUUCGAAUUGGCUAAUUACCUUCUAGGGGAUUGUUACACAGGGAAAACACUUCCAAAUGAGACCUGAAUUAUCGGUGAUGACGUCCGGAGAAGUGAGUUCCGACGACAGGACUCCACAAUGCAGUCGGAGCUUCCGGGCGAUCUCUCUCCCUCACGACGGCGCUAGGGCAGCUCCCACCUGUCCAAGAAGAGAGCUGGGUUGACGGCCGACCGUUUGGGACCGGUGCGACGGUCGAUGGUGGCUGGACGGCGGCGGACGACGCUGGGGAACUUCCGGUAGGAGAAGGGCUCGGGGGAGAGAAGAGGGAAGGGAGAGAGAGAGAAAUGAGGUGGGCUUUUCCCUCCUCUUGGCCCGGUCCAGAAAUUAAUACCCCAAAAAUAAAACCCAACAACAAUUUUUACCUUUUACUAAAUAAUGCUUACUCUUUUAUCUGACAACUUUUACAUGUUAUCUCCGAUUUAAGCGUGCCACAUGCCUACAAACUCUGCUUAACGUCCUCCACGACUUUCAUGAAGAAAAUUUUCCCAAAAUAGUUUUCUUACAAAAAGUCAACUGCAGGGUCCUUAAAUAGUAAAUGGUUACUCAACUCAGUAAAAUGUCAAAAUAACCUAAAAGUCAAUAACCGUAAAUUAACUUAAGAACCAGGAUGUGACAAUUCUCCCAUACUUAUAAAAAUUUCGUCCUCGAAAUUUCAAAUCAUGCAAAGGGGUAGAGAUUACUUCUUUUCACCUCAGACUCCAAUAAGUGCUAGGCUAAAUCAUCCCAUCAUCAAUGCUCUUCAAACUUUCUUCUAUCACAAAUUACACCAUUUUCACUUGUAGAAACAGUUAACCGAAUUCUUUUCCACUUACAUUGGCACAUCAAAACUUAUCGACCAAACCCAAGGCGUGAGCAUAUGCUUUAACCAAUCUCUAACUUAGGGUCAACUGGCAUACUCUGCCAACAAUCCACAUGGCACCACUCACACAAUACACUUUGUCACAUCCCGACCCUUAUAUAUAUAUAUAUAUAUAUUUUUUUUACCUUAUUUACUAGCCUGAUUAUAAUAAGAAUUUUACCGUCUCGAUCAUUGAGUAAAUAGUUUAAUUGGUCCCUAGAGGGGUUUCGGGGACGAUUAUGUGCGGAGGAUUAUUCGUAUGAGGAAAAUACGACGAUGGUACAAAAUGGUAAAUUUUAGCUAGUAAAAGGUAAUUUUUAUUCGGGUAUUAUUUUCGGGGUGUUUAAUUUUAGAAUUUGGAUAGUUUUUAAGUGAUUGACCGGUUUGGGGUGUGAGGCCCAAACCCAUUCUUUUUCCUCCCGAUUUUCUCUCCUCACCCGCUCCCGCACCCGAGCCCUCCCGCUGUCCCGUUUUCCGACCGCCAGACCGCCGCCGCACCGGUCCCAAUCGAUCGGUCUUCAACCCAGCAACCUUCUUGGACCGGUGACAGCUCCCCUAGCGUCGCCGUGAGGGAGAUAUCGGGCCCGAGAGGUCCGACUGUGUUAGGGAUCACGUCGCCGGAACUUCCUCCUCCGGCCAUCAAUCCGGGCAAGCUUGGCACGGUUUUGUAGCCCUCCUCCCGUGCAGCAACCCCUCCAAGCAGCUCCCUCCCUCUUGAGCUAGGUAAGGAGAAAUGUGGAGUUGAAAUUUCUAGGGCUUUUAAGUUGUUUUCGUUCGAUUAGCCUAGUUAGGCUUGGAAUUGGGUGAUGUGUUGGUCAUGAAAGUUGUAGAGGAGAUUGAGAGGAAGUUUCUGUUAAAAUUUGGUAGCAUUUGCAGGUCGCCGGAGUUGGUCGCCGGCCGCCGCUGUUUUGGGAAAUUUUGUGGUUUUUGAUGUAGAAUAUUAAGGUGAUAUUAUUGAGGUGAAUUUUGGAAUUUUUGGAUGAGAUUUGGAUAGGUUUGUGAAUUUCCGAAGUGUGGUAUUUUUGGCGGGUAAUUAAUGUAGCAUCCGGCCGUAGGAUUUAAGUCGUAUUUUGGAGAGGUUGUAUUUACGACUGUUGAGUACGAUAUUUAAGUUCGGAUCGUUCCGAUUUAAGAAUAUCGAAGUUAGGCAAUGAUGAGCGUAAUUAUGGCUCUCGGGUAAUUUUGCCUAUUUUGAUUAAAUAUUGGAUUAUUGGUUGGGAAAUUAAUAUUAUAUUUGGAACAGGACGUGAGGAGGCUCGAGCAGACGAGACCCCAGAUCGACAUCAGGCUUAGGCCUAAUUUGUGAGUGGACUUUUAUUUGAAAUAAUAUGCAUGCUAUGGUUCAUGAUUGAACAUUUCCUUUUGUUGGAGUUUUGACGUCAAUUAAUUUUGACGCUUUUAUUUCUCUGAGAGAGUUACCGAAAAUGGGAUUUUCGGUGAAUAUAAAUAUGUAUAUAUGAGAGAGUAUGUAUAGAAAAUGCUAGCUAGCCAUAUGUGUCUGUCCACCUUNNNNNNNNNNNNNNNNNNNNUUGUGUUUAGUAGCUCUGAAUACUUUAGGAUUAUUGUAUAUUAUGUGAGGUUCGGAAGUGUUGAAUUAAGAGUGUAAUAUGAAAUUUUCGAGUUAGGGUUGUCCAUCUGCAAGGGAGAUUUUCUUAAUCUUUUCAGUAAAUUUUCCUUGGAGGUGGUCCCCGCACGACUUACUCUGGGUUUCAGGGUGAAAUUCGGGGUGGGUCGUGUCACACUUUGCCCUUGACUUAUCUUCCACUAAUUGAAUAGCUUGCCCAAUUUUAAUUACUUAUGAUACAAAACCUCAAAUCACACGGAUGACUUUGACCUAAGUCAAGUCAAUAUGGUCAGUAAAUUUCGUAAUUCACAACACCAUCUUACUUCCGUCACCAAUUAAUCAAAACAAAACUCGAUCGCUCGCAUCAAAUUUGAACCUUCCCCACCUAUAUGAUUGGCCUCAAUCGAUAAGUUGAUUGGCGAAUAUCUCUCUUGUCGCCUAAUUAUGCUAAUGCGAUCUAUAUUACCAAAUCCCUACACUUAAUAUCUCUUGUAUCUCAACUCGUAUCCAUACAACAAUGAUCUCCCAGGUCUUAUACGGAUCAAAAGUGGUCUCACCACAAUACGAUCAUGUAUGAAUAUGCAUCACAAAAAAAACAUUUAACAUGACCUGACACAAUUUUUCCAUUAAUGCCAAUGAACUGACAAGCCUUAACUGAAAAUAUUUUCCGAAUUAUCAAGAAUCUUUUUCCUUAAAGCUAUACCACCAGCCAAACAUAUUAGUAUUUCCAACAAUUCACCCCGCGAAUUAAUCAUUACUAACCAAUAAUAACCGUCGGAAUCUCAUCCCUCAAUAAUAAAUUCAACAGUUGCUACCAACGACGACUUACAAGCACAAGAAAAAUAUCACUCUCAAAAUCGAUCAACAUAUCUGAAAUUGGCACCUCCACAAAUGAGGAAAGUACGUUAAGAAGAAUCAUCUUUGGGUUAUACUUCUUCCACAUAAUUAUGCGUUGCUAAAGAUGCCAAAGAUCACGAAGACCUACUCGUAUUUCCUGAGUAGAGAUUUUUCCCAUGAAUUUCUCGUUAUCCUUAACGAAUGUUGAAGUCCCAUUAAUAAAUCGUACCAACUAAUAGAUGCCAAAGCACGGAAAUUCCCGCAUCAACUCUAAAGUCGAACCGUCUAAGUUACCAAUCGAAUAACCGUACUACAACCAAAAUACAAACUUUGAGUUGACCAAAUUGAGUGUCAGCACAGCUGAUGUUGGCAGUCUAUCAAACAACGCUAGAUAGUCCUUUCUUGCUACCCCCAUAUGAUGUAAAAUGAUUUUCUUUCUUCCAUUUGAUUUCUAGAUCCAACUAGCUGGAUCACGCAGGUCCAUAAUGUCCAAGGAAGAUGAAAGCACAAAACUGGAGUCCAAAGCUCAAGUCGCCAAAACUGUUAGAUGCCAAAGAUAAAUACUCCUCGUAGAAUGCCGAAUUGUACGAAUGCGUACAAAAAUCUAGAACGCCUUCCUCGUAUGAUGAUCAGCAAUCCUGAGUCGAAUCGCACUCUGCAAGGCCCGACUCUUCAACUCAUGUCGAAAAUUUACUUAUAUCAAGAACAAGUUGGUCUUAGAACACCCAGGACAUCGACGAUACUCAUCGAUUGCCACGCUGCUCCAGUAGUUACCUCAAAGAAUUUGGGGUCUAAAAACGAGCUCUAAAAACAAAUCACACACUCCACACAUAAGUGAUAUACCCGAUUCUCUUAAAAAAAAACCUGAGCUAACACUCAAGUAACGCAAAAUUGACGGCCGCAUGCUCCAUCUAAAAAAUUGUGCGUCAACCACAUUAUCUCCUGCAUAAUGCUCAAGUGGAAGCAUGGGAUUGCUCGAAUCUAAUAGAGCCUCGACAAUAACUUCCAAUCCUAACCAGUCAAUUUCACCACUACAAUACUCUAGACAACAACUACACUUGUGGGAAAGACUACCUCCAGAUCCACAUCUCACUCAUCCUCUUAGGAAUUAUUCGUAUCAGCUAAUAACAAUAGCUAAAGCGAAAAACAAUUAUUUCAAAAUCAAUAACCUCAAUUACACCGCUUAAACUAUCUGUGCAUAUCAUCAUACACAUUACCAAUCCAAAUUUAUUCCAACACUCUUCUCCUAACCAUCACUCGACUCGAUGCCACGAUUUUCUAACCAACCACCACUUCGAAUUUACAACUUCAGCCUUUCUUGCACCAAUGACUAAAGAUAUCGAAGAUUGAGAUUACCUUUAGACGAUAGGGGUUCGUCAGUAAUCUUCUACCAAAGUCAAAAGACCUAAAAGUUGAAAAGAGUCGCUUCCAAACUCUUUUUACCUAUUGACAUAACUGACACCUAUACACAAAAGUUGCAUUUUCCUCCUCUCCACUUGUUGCCGUAAAAUCAAAGCAACCACAACUAUCUCGCAUCCGCUUCACCAUUAUAUACCAACGCCAUUUACACUUACGAUCUUUCUAAAAUUGACAACACAAAUAGAAGAGUGAAUCCCAAAUCACAAUUACCAAACCUAAAUCGACCAAUAACAAUUCCAAAAACCAAACUUCAAUAGCCCCAAUCAACACAUGCAAUAACAUCCACAAUUAAUUAGCUCAAGCAACACCACUCUACUAUUUAUCUCAAAGCAAGACAACAUUUAUUUAACCCCCUUAUAAUCACUUAUUCCAACACCAACUUUAUUUAGAAAUUUCUCAAUCCUUCAUUCACUGCAUGCCCUCUCUAUUAAUAAUACCCAUAAAAAGGCUCAACUUCGCCUCUUAAUCGUAGUCCAUCAACUCGAUCAUUACGUAAAAGAAAAUGAUCACAAAUACAUGCCACUUCCCAACUCAUAAUUGACCUCAAAAUCUCGCAACCACAAAAUAACAUAAAGGAAAGAUGCACAUCACUUACCUUUCCAUUACUCGGAAAAUAACCAAGAUACUCUUGAAGAUCGGCGUACGGAGGCAUAGUCUUGAAGAUGUAGACAUUUAUGGCACAAUAUUGUCCAUAAAUAAGACAAAAACAACUACCUCACAUACCUAAUAAAUAUAUAGCAUCUGAUGCAUAUAAUGCUAAUGAAUAUGCCGCGGUCGGACCAUCACUCUAUAGAUACUAAGUAUCACUAAGUAUAUGAGGUAGUGAUAGGAAUCGGAUAACCUAAUGCUCUGAUACCAACUGACAAGACCUACCCCCGAAUUUCACCCUGAAACCCGAAGUAAAUCCUGCGGGGUCCACCUCCAAGGAAAAUUUACAAAAAAUUCGGCAUAAUCUACCUUGAAAAUGGACAACCCUUACCUGAAAAAUCCAACUUACACUUCUAUAAUCAAACAAACCAGCCUCAACACCUGAAACAUUCCUGCUACCUAAAUUCAUCACAUCUCCCACAAUAUCAAAAACUAAUCCCAAAAUAAUACCACAACCAACAACACGUUCAAUCAACAAUUUAUUGACUGGAUUAUCAGAGCAUAACUAAACAUGAACGAAAAACAAGGAAUAAAGAAUAAACGAAAGCAACCUCUGACUAUGCCUCGACUCCAUGUACGCUCGACCUCACUUAGACUUAGCCUGCAAACUGGGCAUUUAAAACCAAAGGGCCCAAGGAAAAAUAAUUUAAAAAAAACGUUAGAAUGAGUGGAUGAAAAAUAAUCGAGUAACUAAUCACAACAUAACUAACCAAACUUAAUUACUUUCCCAUUUUCCAAUAAUCAAUAAAUCCGGUUGCAUGCAAGUGUUGAUAAAACUUUCACAAAGAAAAAUCCCAAGAAAACGGACUAGCCCCGCUAGUCAAAUUAAUCGACAAAAUAAAUAAUAACCUUUGUAAAAGUAAGUACCAAAAUAACGGACUAGCCCCGCUAGUCAAAGACAACAUUAAAGGUACAUAAAGACCUUUGUAAAUUGAAAUAUCGAAAAGAUGGACUAGCCCCGCUAGUCAAGACAAUAAAUAUUAAAUAAGAAACAGCUAUAGCCAUACAAGUGAGCCUCUCAGGCUCGGGUGCCUCCCAGGAAAAAAUACUCUCAUACUCCCUACACAUUCACGUUAUGAUAACAGAGAGGGUGCAAGGCUUGCGUGAUAUAGUCGACUACAUCACAUCACCCGAAGGCGGAAAUGGCUUGAGUAACCCCACUUAAAACGUGGAAGCCACAUCGCCUCGAAAGACGGAACAUCAUGCUAGCAUUAGUAAUAUAUUAUCCGACAAGUAUGACAUAAAUAAAGAACAUAAAUCCAUAUGAGUUUUCCCGAAACUCAUAACUAAAGCAUAAGUACGAUUCCCAACCGUACUCAAAGAAUUCAAAGAGCAAAGAAAAAUAAUUAAAUUCGAUGACAUGUCCCACACGUUAAAAUGCUCAAUGAAAUAAUUAACUUAAAUAAUUUUCAUCUUUCGAAAACUAGGCAAUAUACAAAUCUGGAUAUAAUCUCAAAUCCGGAAAUCAUAAAAAUAUCAAAACUCAAAUACCAAAUCUCUAACCCAUACUCAAAUCCAUAAGUUCAUUAUCGAAAACAUAAUCAAUAUGUCAAUCUCCAAUAAAUUCCAUAAAUCAUGGCAAAGAUUAAUCCAUGCAUCAAAAUCAAAUAACUUUAAAGACGAUUUCAUAAGCCGAAAUUACAAUUUAAGCUUGGAAAAUAUAAUGGGCAACUUAUAAAAUCAUGCAUGCAUAUUAAUUAAAAACCAAAAUGUCCACUCACAGAUUUAGGCCUAAGCCUGACAAAUUCCGAAUCGCCACUCAAGUGAGGCCUCCUCAAAUCCUGACACAACAACCAUGCUUAGGACCAAACUUCAAUUCCGGAAAAUAAUACUUAAAUUUAAACACCCAAAACUCUUCCGCUUAACCCACUACCCUUACUAGGGUUAAGUUUACCGGAUUCACAUCAAACUCCACCACAACCUUAAUUCAUCAAUUCUAACAUUCUAGAAUAAAUACCAAGGAAAUUUAACAGCCGGAUUUUCAUUCUAACAACCGGCAAAAUCCUUAAUCUUUGAAAAAUCUCAAACCUUAUCAAAACUCCUCCAAAAAUUCCAAACUUUACUUCAUUAAACUCCUCUCAUAAAAACAAACUCAAAAACAUGAAAAGCUCUCAUGUUAACAGAAUAAUCCUCUCAUCAAACACAACAACUUUCAUAACUAGCACUUAGUCCAAUUCUAAGGCUAACAAGGGUUAUCGAACCCAAACAUCCAAAAAUCCCCAAUUCAAACCCUAGCUAGCCUGAAAAUCCUCCUACACACUUCGAAUUGGCUAAUUACCUUCUAGGGGAUUGUUACACAGGGAGAGCACUUCCAAAUGAGACCUGAAUCAUCGGUGAUGGCGGCUGGAGAAGCGAGUUCCGACGACGGGACUCCAUAACGCAGUCGGAGCUUCAGGGCGAUCUCUCUCCCUCACGACGGCGCUAUGCCAGCUCCCCACCUGUCCAAGAAGAGAGCUGGGUCGACGGGCGACUGUUUGGGACCGGUGCGGCGGUCGAUGGUGGCUGGACGGUGGCGGACGACGCUGGGGAACUUCCGACAGGAGAAGGGCUCGGGGGAGAAAAGAGGGAAGGGAGAGAGAGAGAGAGAAAUGAG
Molecule: long non-coding RNA, 13185 nt
Filed under: Fragaria vesca (wild strawberry)
Lineage: Eukaryota; Viridiplantae; Streptophyta; Magnoliopsida; Rosales; Rosaceae
Description: long non-coding RNA (FVES_LNC002054)
Source: RNAcentral